UAUGGAAUAACUCAGGGAAACUUGAGCCUAAUACCAUAUAAUGUCUUCGGACCAAAGAUUUAUCGCCCUGAGAUAAGCCCGCGUAGGAUUAGCUAGUUGGUGAGGUAAAGGCUCACCAAGGCGACGAUCCUUAGCUGGUCUGAGAGGAUGAUCAGCCACACUGGGACUGAGACACGGCCCAGACUCCUACGGGAGGCAGCAGUGGGGGAAUAUUGGACAAUGGGCGAAAGCCUGAUCCAGCAAUGCCGCGUGAGUGAUGAAGGCCUUCGGGUUGUAAAGCUCUUUUACUCGGGACGAUAAUGACGGUACCGAGAGAAUAAGCCCCGGCUAACUCCGUG
This 338-nucleotide ribosomal RNA is filed under the name uncultured bacterium. RNAcentral describes it as "bacterial SSU rRNA". It matches the Rfam family "Bacterial small subunit ribosomal RNA", at positions 137 to 507 of the family's 1533-position model. The record is from RNAcentral.